ACAUCUACUUCUAAGGAUAUGAACAAACUCAAAAACAGCAAUCAAGAAAUUGUACAGCGAUAUCAAAAAAACACUUAAAACUUUUUCCCCUAGUCGUAGCCUGUCCCUAUUGCCUGACUAUGUCUCCUCCCAUCUAAAAGCUUGUCUUGCUGCUUGGAAUUUCAAAUUCAGCACUCAUCUUUUCAAAUUGCUUAUGGUGCUGAAGAAUACUUAAGAAAUCCAACCAGAGACUAAAAAUGUGUGAGUAUUUUACAUGACAGUAUCUUGUUCAUCUAAAAAAAAAAAAAAAAAGAAGAAAGAAAAAGGAAAAAAGCCUGGAGAUCCUCAAGUGUCUUUGCUUGAGUUCCCAUAGAAGGUUCACUAACCCCCUGAAUGACCUGUAGAGAUCUGCUGUGCUCAGACCAACAUCCCAAGCUGAUCAGGAGAAACACAUUCCCUCUCAACUUCAGAUGAGGGUGCCUGGACAAAGAUGAUGACGUCUGUAUGCCAGGGAUGUAAGAAGAAAGCCUUCUGUGGUGUUAUUUAUUGUAGCAACAGGCCCUGGCAACAGUUAGGCUCCAUGGUGAUAACGACUAACCAAGCUCCCAGGAAGAGACUAGGGCAUUCCUACUCCCUGGACUUGCAGCAAGAAGCAGAUGGUCACAGUUUCACCAUGGGCUGCAAUAUUUCUAACAGGGUCGCUGACGCACAGCUGUCUUCUGAGGAGCUACAGAACAACCAGGAAGCCAAAAGCCAGACUAAAAAUGACAGCAUUGCUGGAACAGAGGCUGUCCCCUCACAGGAUGGGGCAGCUGGGCCAACAGGCACUUCAAAGGAUGGAGACAAACUUGAAAAUGAGACCAGUGAAGCAGACUCCCCUGAGGAGCUACCAGGAAGAUUUAUAUCUUCUCAGAAGAGCAGCAACGCACAAAGCACAGGUGAACUGUAGCUGAAGUUCAUACUAGCUCCACAAAUGGACACCUACAAGCAAAUAACCUUGGGAAUCUAUUGCUACAGCCAACUUCCAUACCCAGAAACGUUCAUGCUGCAACACCACAAGGACUGAGCUCUUAGCACUGGUUUAAAACCAAGCGAUAGUAGCAGAAAGUAUUUCCUGCAGCAUGACUCAACCCUCACUACCAGAGCAGGCAGCAGGGUAGAUACUUUUCUUGGCAGAUGCCUGCAACAGAUCAAAGGAACAAACUCAGCCUUGUCCCCAGGGGCAGCCCUUCUCUAACUGAGAUUAUGGCACACUGGGAAGAGGUAUUGCCUACACCAGGGCUGCCAGUCUGCCCUUACGACGAGUCAGUUUUUACAACAGAACGGUCAUCAGGUAGAGACAGUGAAUAAAUACCAUGUUAUUUUGCA
RNAcentral lists this long non-coding RNA (1347 nucleotides) under Calidris pugnax (ruff). RNAcentral's name for it is "lncRNA (ENSCPUG00000002262.1)". Lineage: Eukaryota; Metazoa; Chordata; Aves; Charadriiformes; Scolopacidae. The record is from RNAcentral.